RNAcentral lists this non-coding RNA (32 nucleotides) under Homo sapiens (human). The record is from RNAcentral. Lineage: Eukaryota; Metazoa; Chordata; Mammalia; Primates; Hominidae.
UUAAGGUAGCCUAGCUGAUUCUAGAAGACAGC